This 585-nucleotide ribosomal RNA is filed under the name Rhodotorula mucilaginosa. RNAcentral's name for it is "partial large subunit ribosomal RNA". It matches the Rfam family "Eukaryotic large subunit ribosomal RNA", at positions 68 to 664 of the family's 3401-position model. The record is from RNAcentral. Lineage: Eukaryota; Fungi; Basidiomycota; Microbotryomycetes; Sporidiobolales; Sporidiobolaceae.
AAAGGGAUUCCCUAGUAGCGGCGAGCGAAGCGGGAAGAGCUCAAAUUUAUAAUCUGGCACCUUCGGUGUCCGAGUUGUAAUCUCUAGAAAUGUUUUCCGCGUUGGACCGCACACAAGUCUGUUGGAAUACAGCGGCAUAGUGGUGAGACCCCCGUAUAUGGUGCGGACGCCCAGCGCUUUGUGAUACAUUUUCGAAGAGUCGAGUUGUUUGGGAAUGCAGCUCAAAUUGGGUGGUAAAUUCCAUCUAAAGCUAAAUAUUGGCGAGAGACCGAUAGCGAACAAGUACCGUGAGGGAAAGAUGAAAAGCACUUUGGAAAGAGAGUUAACAGUACGUGAAAUUGUUGGAAGGGAAACGCUUGAAGUCAGACUUGCUUGCCGAGCAAUCGGUUUGCAGGCCAGCAUCAGUUUUCCGGGAUGGAUAAUGGUAGAGAGAAGGUAGCAGUUUCGGCUGUGUUAUAGCUCUCUGCUGGAUACAUCUUGGGGGACUGAGGAACGCAGUGUGCCUUUUGGCGGGGGUUUCGACCUCUUCACACUUAGGAUGCUGGUGGAAUGGCUUUAAACGACCCGUCUGAAAACCCGGGACCC